GUGAGGAAUUUUGCGCAAUGGGGGCAACCCUGACGCAGCGACGCCGCGUGGAGGACGAAGUCUUUCGGGAUGUAAACUCCUGUCAGUGGGGACGAUAAUGACGGUACCCACAGAGGAAGCACCGGCUAACUCCGUGCCAGCAGCCGCGGUAAGACGGAGGGUGCAAGCGUUGUUCGGAAUUACUGGGCGUAAAGCGUAUGUAGGCGGCAAGUUAAGUUCAAUGUUAAAGGCCACGGCUCAACCGAGGAGAUGCAUUGAAUACUGGCUAGCUAGAGGGUGUUAGAGGAAGACGGAAUUCCCAGUGUAGCGGUGAAAUGCGUAGAUAUUGGGAGGAACAUCGGUAGCGAAAGCGGUCUUCUGGGACAUACCUGACGCUGAGGUACGAAAGCGUGGGGAGCAAACGGGAUUAGAUACCCUUGUAGUCC
This 425-nucleotide ribosomal RNA is filed under the name uncultured bacterium. RNAcentral describes it as "partial 16S ribosomal RNA". It matches the Rfam family "Bacterial small subunit ribosomal RNA", at positions 354 to 796 of the family's 1533-position model. The record is from RNAcentral.